This 1181-nucleotide long non-coding RNA is filed under the name Lupinus angustifolius (narrow-leaved blue lupine). Its description in RNAcentral is "long non-coding RNA (LANG_LNC001523)". Lineage: Eukaryota; Viridiplantae; Streptophyta; Magnoliopsida; Fabales; Fabaceae. The record is from RNAcentral.
AGAGAAAGAAGCUCAUACAUGUAAACAUAACAAUCAGAGAGGAGAGCACAUACAUAUCACGCAUACAUUGUGAAAUCAACAUACCACAACUAUACACAUCAUAUAACAACGAGAGAGAGAGCAGAUCACACAGUGAUAAAAAGCAGCAAGCAGAAAGUAACACAGAAAAAGGAUACAGAAAUCAGAGGGGGCAGAGAAAAAAGAUAGCAAGUAAAAAAAUUCGAGAGCAUUUUUAUCAUAUAGGUCAUUCAGCAAAAAAGGAAACAUACAACACAAGCAGAGAUAUCCCAUAUACAACAACCAUCAGAGAAAUAGAGAGGCAGAGAUACAUCACACAGUCGUAAACAGGGGGCAGCCUUCAUACAUUCAAGCAAACUCAAUCCAAAAUAGACUUACAUUUCACAAGCAUUAUAAAGUGGCAGAACCCGUAUCAUACGACAGGAAGCAUAUACUCAGGUAAUCAUCCAAACGAAAAUAGGUAUCAUAACAUGUCUUAUUUUAGGUGAUUUAUGCAUCGAAAUUAUAGGAAUAAAUUAUAAACCGAUUUAAUCGGCCAUUUCGCAGAAACUCACAUAAGUAUAAUAGGCUAGAAUAUAAAAUAGAGCAUGAACGAAAUUGGUUUUAAUCUAUGUAUUUCCACCCGAAUCAGUCAUAACCCUUUCGGAAAUAAUUAGCCAAAGAGGACAACCGAAUCCCUACCUUACUCUAAUGACCACAGUGAGAACCGAACCAUCAUAAGCCACCAGGAGUGAAAACCGAACCAUCAUAAGCCACCGGAAGCGAGAACCGAACCACCUUAAGCCACCGGGAGUGAAAACCGAACCAACAUGAACCACCGUGAAUGCAUCUCAAUCCCAACCAUCGCGAACUACCGCAACCCACCACGAACCGUCACUGAAAUAGGUUCUUCCGGCUGGAUCAAUUCGGCUUCCAUCUUCAACAACCUUUAGUCGCCAUGAACACUACCGAUUGGAAAGAAGGAAGAAAACAGAUUCCAUGCCAUGGCCAUCCCUGCUGCGUGAAAAGAAAGGAAUUGAGAAGAAAAGUGGGACUUUGGUUUUAGGGAUUUUUAUCCCAUUUACUUUUAGGGAUUUACCCCUUUUGCUACCCAUGAGGGAGAAGGAUAGCAUAUCUUUCUUUUCUUUUUCUUCUGGUUGGUUUCUGAAUCCUUUAGAUAUUUA